CCUAUUGCCUUCGGAGGCGGGUCCCAUUCCGCCUCCCUUCACGCCCCAGGUAGUGACGUCACUGUUCCGGACGCACACAAGGCGAAGGCAUAUUUUUUCCGCUGCGGUCCGUGACUAGGGGAAACCUGCACGGCUCAAUUCGAAUAGAAUUCUGGGAUUUGUAGUUUUUUUGAGGCAUGGGAGCUCUCUGACAGAAAAGGCUAAAUGUUUUACAAAAUAGCAAGCCCCAGUUUCUAUAGCAUUGAGGCUUGGCAAUUAAAGAGCUGUCAAACUGCUAUAACAGCCUUCUUUUAUAGUUCGGCUUAAAGGCAAAAUCGACUGAGACGCUGCAGAGGGAAAUCUUCAUUUUUUAAACGCAGGACCGUACACUUGAGUUUCUUGCAGUGUGUGCGACUGUGUAUAGCAGGCAUGGACAAACUUUGGCCUUCCAGGUGUUUUGGACUCCCAACUCCCACAAUUCCUAACAGCCGGUAUACUGUUAGGAAUUGUGGGAGUUGAAGUCCAAAACAGCUGAAGGGCCAAAGUUUGCCCAAUCCCUUUGUUUCCGCGCCGCUGUGCAUUUCGAUUCCACUAAUAGCUUGUCAAACAUUUUUGGAUGUACGUAUUCCUGGAGUGUUAAGGCGAUGUUUGCUAGAUAACUUAAGUCUUCUCACAAAAAGAAAGCCAGCCUCAACCUUAGCAACAUGGAGUGGAUGAAGAAUUGGGGAGAUACAACUCCAAAUAGGGAAACAAGUUGUCCAGGAACACCUGGCCGCUCUAAACAAAUUCAAGUCCCCAGGGCCAGAUCAAUUACAUGUAGCGGAAGUUAUUUCAGAACCACUGGCAAUCAUCUUUGAAAGUUCUUGGAGAACGGGAGAAGUCCCAGCAGAUUGGAGGAAAGCAAAUGUCCCUAUCUUCAAGAAGGGGAAAAAAGGACAACCCAAACAAUUACCAUCCGGAUCAGCCUCACGUUGAUACCAGGCAAGAUUUUGGAAAAGAUCAUUAAGGAAGUGGUCUGCAAACACUUAGAAACAAAUGCUGUCAUCGCUAAUAGUCAACACGGAUUUAUUAAAAAAAAUCAUGCCAGA
This is a long non-coding RNA of Anolis carolinensis (green anole), 1067 nucleotides long. RefSeq lists it as uncharacterized. Lineage: Eukaryota; Metazoa; Chordata; Lepidosauria; Squamata; Anolidae. The record is from RefSeq and is a predicted model, not a curated record. The transcript is spliced from 2 exons.